This is a non-coding RNA of Acanthosepion pharaonis, 113 nucleotides long. Lineage: Eukaryota; Metazoa; Mollusca; Cephalopoda; Sepiida; Sepiidae. The record is from the annotation of a GenBank genome assembly.
UUCGGCCACAUCUCGUUGAAGCACCGGUUUCUGUACGACAACCGAAGUUAAGCAACGUCUAGUCUAGUCAGUACCUAGAUGGGUAACCGCCUGGGAAUACCAGGUGCUGUAAG